UCACUGGUAGCUGAUUCACUGGUGGU
Molecule: small RNA, 26 nt
Filed under: Bombyx mori (domestic silkworm)
Lineage: Eukaryota; Metazoa; Arthropoda; Insecta; Lepidoptera; Bombycidae
Description: ovarian small RNA-25456
Source: RNAcentral